Molecule: long non-coding RNA, 2364 nt
Filed under: Rattus norvegicus (Norway rat)
Lineage: Eukaryota; Metazoa; Chordata; Mammalia; Rodentia; Muridae
Description: long non-coding RNA NONRATT008811
Source: RNAcentral
GCAUCCUGGACCCUCCGCUCUCGAGCAGUUGUUAAUGCAGCAGAAGCAGAAACAGCAGCGGGGACAAGGUGCCAUGAACCCUCCACACUGAGGCCACAGUAGCGACCCAGGGAAUGAAGGCUCCAUAAACCAUGGCAUGUUGGGUUUGCAGGACUGGCCCACACAGUCCCUGCAGGUGGCAGCCCUCUUGUCUGUUUCUUGCUGUCGAGAGGGUGUAAGUGUUCCACCAGCCCGCUGAGUGUGCACGAAAUGUUCGCAGUGCAACAAAAGAAAAAACCAUCAGGAACUCUCGUUCCCCCGGGGCUUUCCGGAGGGAGAGAGGAGCUGCUGUUUGUCCCACUCGGUUACUGAUAGCACGCCUCUCACCUUCUCCACCGCGCAUGUCCCCAACACGUGGGAAGUGGAAGCUGAGAAGGGAAGGCAGAUGGGAGAAGCCAAUAGGAACUUCUCAGUCCUUUUUUCCUCUUUGGGGAAUAAAAUAGGAAUCCAUUAUGAGUGCUUUGCUGACUGAGAAUGUAGUUGAAAUUAUUCUUAAACAUCUUUUAUUAUUACUCUCAGUAGCAAAAUAUCACACUGAAUUCUUCCAUACACAGGUGUAUUUCUAGUCAGUGUGGAGCAAAGACAGUCCCGUUUGCUGCUCCUGUGAGAGGUCAGUAGUGACAGGACAGGGAACUGACCUCUUAAGCCAGUGGGAGUGUUCCAUAAGGGAGAGGACAAGGCCUCUUGGAAGGUUCUGGUAGAGGCCUUCCUCCAGCCUGGAAACUCCAGCAGGAAAUGCCCUUCACUCUGUAGGUGCUCGAGCCCCAAUCGAGGAUGCAGUGUGGGUGGUGCUGCUGUGCUAGACCAGCAGAUGGCUGCUGUACGAUUUCAGAUUAAUGUUGUUGAUUCCUACACUUUGCAGUAGCGUAGCAAGCAGUCUCAGAAGGCAGGCUAGUCCAUUCAUGGCCUGGAACCCAUUUUAAUAGGUGGAUGCUUUCAGUGUGGUUCUUUUCGUUGAGUUGGUUUUUGUAUCCCCAUCCUGCUUCCCAGCCUCUUGCACCAGUCUCCACCCCUUUAGCCAUAUGCUGUACCGUAGUCAUUGUUUUUUCCCUACCUUGUACAACAUCUCACCAAGAAACAAACAGCAGCAUGGGGCCAGCACUUGGGGCCCAAAAGCCGGUCUGAAGAGGAAGGAAGCAGAAGUGCGAGCAUCGCUGCAGAGGAGCCGGGCUCUGCCUGGUUACAGGCUCUGCCUAGUUACAGGCUCCUGACCUUCACCUCAAGGAUGAAGUUGAAGGCUAUGGGGACAGAUGCACACUGUGCACAGAAGAAAACACAACAGACGCCACUUUGGAGAGGGCAAGAGAAGGAAUAAACUCUAUUUGAUAUUUAUUAGGAAAGAGGACUGAAGAUGUUCUGUGUAGGAACAGAAGGACGGACAGCAUUUCUGUUAGUCAUUUCCUGGAAAAGUAAUAUUUUAAUGGGAAAUUAUGGAAACAAUCUAAAAUGUCCAAUUGCUGUGCUAGGGUAGGGAUUAUUUUCUGGGAGGUGUGUGUGUGUGUGUGUUCUCGAGUGUGUGUAUGCAUGUGUGUGUCCCCACACAUGGCUGUCUACUCUCCCGGAGGGCGUGGGCUACAUGUGGGAAUUAGUGUGGAGCAUAGCUGAAAGACCGCUGUAGAGCAAGGCACAUCCAGGAGCCCAGGGUGCCCCUGGGUCAGGGCAGCACUGAGACGGGGUGAGGUGUCGCUCACUGCUCUUCAGAAGGAGCACUCAAGGCCCCAGGCUUCUCUAGUGCUCUUUUAGUUUGACGUGGUAUUGGGGUUUUUGUUUUGUUGGGUUUUUUGUUUUGUUUUUUUUGGGGGGGGGGUUGGUUUUUUGUUUUGUUUUGUUUUUGAAAAGUCUGAAAGUGAAACCCUUCACUCAAUGGCAAGAAACCGUCUGUGCUGCUCCAGUCCCUCCCUGUGUCAUCCUUGUCCUCUUCCUGUCCCUUCCCUGCUACACCUUCACCCAGUUUGUGAUGUAGGCUCUGCAUUCAGACGCUGCAGCAUUCCAAUGUUGGAAAUGUCACUGGUCCUUGCACCUUAGACCAGCCCCUCCCAGUAGUGCCCACUUCCCAUCUAUAGCCCCAGUCUGCAUGAGAACUCGGUGUUUGGAAUGUCUAUGACUCAGCAGGGCUCCUCGCCUUGCCAUCCUCACUGUGGGUAAUGACGGAGGGGAGGAGAAUCUUCAUCAACUGGUUUUGUGUAAUAAACUUUGGUGUUUUGUUUUGAUUUGAUUUGAUUUGGGGUUGGUUUUUUUUUUUUUUUCCCUGUCUGUCUGUGCAAGAUCUGCAGCUGCUGAAAUCAGCUUUGCCUUUAAUUAAACCGUGUUCUCUCCAACCAGAUA